This 450-nucleotide ribosomal RNA is filed under the name uncultured bacterium. RNAcentral's name for it is "bacterial SSU rRNA". It matches the Rfam family "Bacterial small subunit ribosomal RNA", at positions 354 to 796 of the family's 1533-position model. The record is from RNAcentral.
GUAGGGAAUCUUCGGCAAUGGACGAAAGUCUGACCGAGCAACGCCGCGUGAAUGAAGAAGGCCUUCGGGUUGUAAAAUUCUGUUAUAAGGGAAGAAAGACGUGAGUAGGAAAUGGCUCACGAGUGACGGUACCUUAUGAGAAAGCCACGGCUAACUACGUGCCAGCAGCCGCGGUAAUACGUAGGUGGCAAGCGUUAUCCGGAAUUAUUGGGCGUAAAGAGCGCGCAGGUGGUUGAUUAAGUCUGAUGUGAAAGCCCACGGCUUAACCGUGGAGGGUCAUUGGAAACUGGUCAACUUGAGUGCAGAAGAGGGAAGUGGAAUUCCAUGUGUAGCGGUGAAAUGCGUAGAGAUAUGGAGGAACACCAGUGGCGAAGGCGGCUUCCUGGUCUGUAACUGACACUGAGGCGCGAAAGCGUGGGGAGCAAACAGGAUUAGAUACCCUAGUAGUCC